GAUCAUGGCUCAGAACGAACGCUGGCGGCGCGUCUUAAGCAUGCAAGUCGAACGGCAAGAGGUAGCAAUACCUCCUAGAGUGGCGGACUGGUGAGUAACACGUGGGUGACAUACCCUUCAGAUGGGGAUAGCUAUUAGAAAUAGUAGAUAAUACCGAAUACGAGCACAGGGGGUUAGAGAUCUGUGAGGAAAGGAGCUAAGGCUCCGCUGAAGGAAUGGCCUGCGGCCCAUUAGCUAGUUGGUGAGGUAAGAGCCCACCAAGGCGAUGAUGGGUAUCCGGCCUUAGAGGGUGAACGGACACAUUGGGACUGAGAUACGGCCCAGACUCCUACGGGAGGCAGCAGCUAAGAAUAUUCCGCAAUGGACGAAAGUCUGACGGAGCGACGCCGCGUGGAUGAAGAAGGCCGGAAGGUUGUAAAAUCCUUUUGAAACUGAAGAAUAAGCGUUGUAGGGAAUGACAGCGUGGUGACAGUAGGUUUUGAAUAAGCAACGGCUAAUUACGUGCCAGCCGCUGC
Molecule: ribosomal RNA, 515 nt
Filed under: uncultured bacterium
Lineage: Bacteria
Description: bacterial SSU rRNA
Rfam family: Bacterial small subunit ribosomal RNA
Source: RNAcentral